Molecule: long non-coding RNA, 385 nt
Filed under: Homo sapiens (human)
Lineage: Eukaryota; Metazoa; Chordata; Mammalia; Primates; Hominidae
Description: non-protein coding lnc-SAP30BP-1:1
Source: RNAcentral
UGAACUCAGGAUUUAAGAAAAAGAUACAUUUCCUAUCUGUCCAUUGCAAGGAGCUAGGACCUCCUGCUUUGUAUAUGGUGAGUUAAAAAAAAAACAAAACCUGGAAGCAAUGACAGACACCCUGGUAGCAUCCAGCACACAGUAUUCACAUCGUGGUCUCUAAUACCAUUCCCCACUGAAAGGAACCAAGCCGGGGCCCCUUGGAGAAACAGCAGAUCCUGAAAUCUAAGUAGGACUGGGGCAGUUCUAGAAAGCAGGGAAGACACGGAAGUCAGAUCAAAAUGUCAAAAAAGCUAGGGUGAAGGGAUCUCCUACUGGCCAAAUUUGGUUACAUUUGAACAUGAAGGAAGAAUGAUUACAAUGAAUUGUGUGUUUUUUGUUUUUU